Molecule: ribosomal RNA, 254 nt
Filed under: uncultured bacterium
Lineage: Bacteria
Description: partial 16S ribosomal RNA
Rfam family: Bacterial small subunit ribosomal RNA
Source: RNAcentral
UACGAAGGGGGCUAGCGUUGUUCGGAAUCACUGGGCGUAAAGGGCGCGUAGGCGGCCGAUCAAGUCGGGGGUGAAAGCCUGUGGCUCAACCACAGAAUUGCCUUCGAUACUGGUUGGCUUGAGACCGGAAGAGGUAAGUGGAACUGCGAGUGUAGAGGUGAAAUUCGUAGAUAUUCGCAAGAACACCAGUGGCGAAGGCGGCUUACUGGUCCGGUACUGACGCUGAGGCGCGAAAGCGUGGGGAGCAAAGCAGG